RNAcentral lists this ribosomal RNA (360 nucleotides) under Bacillus sp. (in: firmicutes). RNAcentral's name for it is "bacterial SSU rRNA". It matches the Rfam family "Bacterial small subunit ribosomal RNA", at positions 113 to 466 of the family's 1533-position model. The record is from RNAcentral. Lineage: Bacteria; Bacillati; Bacillota; Bacilli; Caryophanales; Bacillaceae.
ACACGUGGGUAACCUGCCCAUAAGACUGGGAUAACUCCGGGAAACCGGGGCUAAUACCGGAUAACAUUUUGAACUGCAUGGUUCGAAAUUGAAAGGCGGCUUCGGCUGUCACUUAUGGAUGGACCCGCGUCGCAUUAGCUAGUUGGUGAGGUAACGGCUCACCAAGGCAACGAUGCGUAGCCGACCUGAGAGGGUGAUCGGCCACACUGGGACUGAGACACGGCCCAGACUCCUACGGGAGGCAGCAGUAGGGAAUCUUCCGCAAUGGACGAAAGUCUGACGGAGCAACGCCGCGUGAGUGAUGAAGGCUUUCGGGUCGUAAAACUCUGUUGUUAGGGAAGAACAAGUGCUAGUUGAAUA